This 443-nucleotide ribosomal RNA is filed under the name uncultured bacterium. RNAcentral's name for it is "partial 16S ribosomal RNA". It matches the Rfam family "Bacterial small subunit ribosomal RNA", at positions 339 to 795 of the family's 1533-position model. The record is from RNAcentral.
CUACGGGUUGCUCCAGUCGAGAAUCUUCCACAAUGCACGAAAGUGUGAUGGAGCGACGUCGCGUGCGAGAUGAAGGCCUUCGGGUCGUAAAUCGUUUUUAUAAGGGAAGAAUUUAGAUGACAUUACCUUAUGAAUAAGGGGUUGCUAAUUGCGUGCCAGCAGCAGCGGUAAUACGCAAACCCCAAGCGUUAUCCGGAUUUAUUGGGCGUAAAGGGUGGGUAGGCGGAUAUAGCAGUCAGUCGUUAAAUCACUGGGCUCAACCCAGUAAUCGCGAUUGAAACACUAUGUCUAGAGAUAAGUAGAGGUCAACGGAACUCAUGGUGUAGCAGUGAAAUGCGUUGAUAUCAUGGGGAACACCAAAGGCGAAGGCAGUUGACUGGGCUUUAUCUGAGGCUGAGCCACGAAAGCGUGGGGAGUGAAGGGGAUUAGAUACCCGUGUAGUC